GCCGGUGACCAUACCACGUUGAAAGCACCGGUUCUCGUCCAAUCACCGCAGUUACGCAACGUUGGGCCCGGUCAGUACUUGCAUGGGUGACCGGCGGGGAAUACCGGGUGUCGCCGGCU
Ribosomal RNA from Schistosoma mansoni, 119 nucleotides. The record is from Rfam. Lineage: Eukaryota; Metazoa; Platyhelminthes; Trematoda; Strigeidida; Schistosomatidae.